Molecule: long non-coding RNA, 211 nt
Filed under: Mytilus galloprovincialis (Mediterranean mussel)
Lineage: Eukaryota; Metazoa; Mollusca; Bivalvia; Mytilida; Mytilidae
Source: RNAcentral
AAAUUCCAAAAAGUUGUGCCAAAUACAGCUAAGGUAAUCUAUGCCUGGAACUUGUUCUUUAAUACUGAAGGCUUUCAGCGUAAUGAUAAUGUCUCCUGACACAUUGUGACUUCACUCAUAACUUCUCUUCAGACAUUGGGAUGUCACUGAAAAUGUCUUCUAUCAUGGCCCAAAGCUGUGAUAUAAGAUAUAAUACGAGCAAUUGAGCAGC